Molecule: ribosomal RNA, 291 nt
Filed under: uncultured bacterium
Lineage: Bacteria
Description: partial 16S ribosomal RNA
Rfam family: Bacterial small subunit ribosomal RNA
Source: RNAcentral
GUGUCAUCCGCCGCGGUAAUACGUAGGGGGCAAUCGUUGUCCGGAAUUAUUGGGCGUAAAGCGCGCGCAGGCGGCGAUUUAAGUCUGACGUUUAAGCCCAGGGCUCAACCCUGAUCAGCGCCAGAAACUGGAUCACUUGAGUGCAGAAGAGGAAAGCGGAAUUCCACGUGUAGCGGUGAAAUGCGUAGAGAUGUGGAGGAACACCAGUGGCGAAGGCGGCUUUCUGGUCUGUAACUGACGCUGAGGCGCGAAAGCGUGGGGAGCAAACAGGAUUAGAUACCCUGGUAGUCC